CCGUAUUCUGCUCUCACGUCGGCUUGGAGUUCUCGAGAAAUCGACACACCCAUCCGCGUGUUGUGGCUUUUAACGAAACUUUUGCUCAUCGGUCGAAUAAUCCCCGAAGGGUGCGCGUGGCAGAUGCUAGGAGACUCCGUCCUGUGGAGUCCCCCGCUUACUCUCUCUCUCUCUCUCUUGUUCCUCGGACGAUGAAGCUCGGUUUGUAAAAAAACAAACAAAAAAAGAAGAGGAGUGUGGGGUUUGACCAGUCUGUGGCGAGGUCUUCGGGGGAGGGAAGCGACAACCCUCCCAGCACCUCGGUAUGUCCGCUCCCCCCCAAAGUCUUUUUGUGCCGGUACGUACUUCUCUCGAAUGACCCACUCCGUCGUUCGCUCUCGAUCGUGAGAGCCGAUGCCUUGGGUGCGUUCAAAGAGCUUUUGGUGGAAACGCCGAGCCGCCGGCCCUAAAAACUUUUUUUUCCCGCGGUCGUCUAACUACAUUUAUUUUUUUCUACACACUAACAAGGACACAACUAGUUUGUUGCGAGCCGUCGUCUUUUCGGCGGCCGUCUCACUCAAUAUGAAACGUUAAUGUACGACCGUAGGCGUUGGAUCACUCGGCUCGU
RNAcentral lists this unclassified non-coding RNA (607 nucleotides) under Notoacmea elongata. RNAcentral describes it as "partial miscellaneous RNA". The record is from RNAcentral. Lineage: Eukaryota; Metazoa; Mollusca; Gastropoda; Acmaeidae.